CUUUCAAAAGCAACAGCCAAAGCAGAUGCAAGGGAGAUGCAUUGGUGCUCAUAAAUUCAAGGAGCUGAAAUGGCAACAGCUGUGGCAAUUUCAGGAUUUCAGCAGAUGGGUCAAAAUCAAAGUUGAUGAUCAGUCAUAUGAUCUUCAGCAGCCCUGGAAGGGUGUGAGUUCUCGGCAUCCCAUGCAGGACCUCUGAAUGUACAGAGGUGCUGAGGAGGGAGCAUGCGCCGGUGCCAAACGCUGGAUGACCUCACUAUCCUCAUGGAAAAGGAGGUGAAUACCACUGCCUUCUUUCUGUGUCCAAGCAAGUUAUGAUUGGAAUGGAAAGUAUAGCCACCCGGGGCUGGCAGUACCCCUACCUACUCAAUUGCAGACAUGUUGAUACAGAACAUGAUCAUCAAAUUCCAGUGAAGCCACAGUGAUGGGAGUCCAGCAAGAGUAAAAGCAAGUAGAAGGAAGAAGCCCAGAAAAACCAAAGCGCCUAAGGCCCAUGAAAGCUGUAAUGACUCCUUACCAUGAAGUUCUCUCUCCUGAUACCAUGUGGAGAAGAUCCUUACUUCCUCUUCACCUUCCACCAUGAUUGUGAGUUUCCUGAGGCCUUCCCAGCCAUGUGGAACCGUGUGCUCAGCCUCCUCCUGUGAUGUAUCUGGAUUUCAUCCUCCAUGGUGAAAGGCAAAAGGCUGUUUAUCUCUUCUCUGGUCUGUGUAUGAAAGCUACAUGAAAAUGAGCAUUGAAAGGGUUAAGUGCACUCUUCAUGCAGAAAGACAAAACUUGUGGAUUUUCUAUUCCAUUGGGUCCAAACAAGAAGAACGAUCUGUUGCUAUUAUUUUAGGAUUCAACUCAAUAGCUGAUAAAUUUGAUUUCUUUCACACUGGGCAAAGACUUGAAACAUUGUAGCCCCAGAAUGGGAAGUCUCUUCUCCGAACUUAUGAACAUGUAACUCUUCAGUUCUCCCUCAACUUUAUUAAGCAUAUUGAGUUUCAAAAGACAUUCCUACUCUCCUUCUUCAAUACCUUCUCUUUUUAAAUGUUACUUUAUUUUUUAAAUGUAUUAUGCAGUUUUUAAGACAUUCAAAAAGGGAUAAGGAAAACCAAACCAACACCUACGUAUCUAUCACGCAGCUCAAGAAAUACAACAUUAGGAGCUGUUAAAUCCACUAUUUAUGCUCACUGCCUUCUAGAUAGUCUGUUACUUCCCAGAGGUCAAUUCCUGAGAGCCUAGGGACCUGGGCAUUGUCUUUGCCAUCUUUGUGAGGCCCUGGAGAUGCCCUUUAUGUCUCUGGCUUCUAUGUUGUCGAAGUCUAGGUUGACCUUGUGAUUUUUGAGGCUGUGGGUUAGGCUUGCAAUGUCUGGAACUUGGCUAUGAGUUUUGAACGCUUUUCCUUGGGCCUUGUCGUCAGAUGGAAGUGCAUAUAGUUUCCCAUGGCCACCUCUUCCAGGAUGUUCAAUGAGAAGUCCCAAA
Gorilla gorilla gorilla (western lowland gorilla) is the source of this 1461-nucleotide long non-coding RNA. RefSeq lists it as uncharacterized. Lineage: Eukaryota; Metazoa; Chordata; Mammalia; Primates; Hominidae. The transcript has 7 exons. The record is from RefSeq and is a predicted model, not a curated record.